This 463-nucleotide ribosomal RNA is filed under the name uncultured bacterium. RNAcentral's name for it is "partial 16S ribosomal RNA". It matches the Rfam family "Bacterial small subunit ribosomal RNA", at positions 28 to 507 of the family's 1533-position model. The record is from RNAcentral.
GAUGAACGCUGCCAGAAUGCUUAACACAUGCAAGUCGAUGGGGAAGUGGUGCUUGCACCCUGGUAACCAUGGCGGACGGGUGAGUAACGCGUAAGGAACUUACCUGCGGGACCGGGAUAACAGCAGGAAACUGCUGACAAGACCGGAUAAGGUCAUUAAGCUGCAUAGCUUAGUGAUGAAAGGAGACGCCUGCGGAGAGCCUUGCGUCCUAUUAGCUAGUUGGAGGGGUAACGGCCCACCAAGGCGAAGAUAGGUAGCCGGCCUGAGAGGGUGGACGGCCACAAGGGGACUGAGAUACGGCCCUUACUCCUACGGGAGGCAGCAGUGGGGAAUAUUGGACAAUGGGGGCAACCCUGAUCCAGCAAUUCUGUGUGCACGAAGACGGUUUUCGGAUUGUAAAGUGCUUUCAGCAGGGAAGAAGGAAGUGACGGUACCUGCAGAAGAAGCGACGGCUAAAUACGUG